This 1153-nucleotide ribosomal RNA is filed under the name Xanthomonas oryzae pv. oryzicola. Its description in RNAcentral is "bacterial SSU rRNA". It matches the Rfam family "Bacterial small subunit ribosomal RNA", at positions 51 to 1197 of the family's 1533-position model. The record is from RNAcentral. Lineage: Bacteria; Pseudomonadati; Pseudomonadota; Gammaproteobacteria; Lysobacterales; Lysobacteraceae.
ACACAUGCAAGUCGAACGGCAGCACAGUAAGAGCUUGCUCUUAUGGGUGGCGAGUGGCGGACGGGUGAGGAAUACAUCGGAAUCUACUCUUUCGUGGGGGAUAACGUAGGGAAACUUACGCUAAUACCGCAUACGACCUACGGGUGAAAGCGGAGGACCUUCGGGCUUCGCGCGAUUGAAUGAGCCGAUGUCGGAUUAGCUAGUUGGCGGGGUAAAGGCCCACCAAGGCGACGAUCCGUAGCUGGUCUGAGAGGAUGAUCAGCCACACUGGAACUGAGACACGGUCCAGACUCCUACGGGAGGCAGCAGUGGGGAAUAUUGGACAAUGGGCGCAAGCCUGAUCCAGCCAUGCCGCGUGGGUGAAGAAGGCCUUCGGGUUGUAAAGCCCUUUUGUUGGGAAAGAAAAGCAGUCGGUUAAUACCCGAUUGUUCUGACGGUACCCAAAGAAUAAGCACCGGCUAACUUCGUGCCAGCAGCCGCGGUAAUACGAAGGGUGCAAGCGUUACUCGGAAUUACUGGGCGUAAAGCGUGCGUAGGUGGUGGUUUAAGUCUGUUGUGAAAGCCCUGGGCUCAACCUGGGAAUUGCAGUGGAUACUGGGUCACUAGAGUGUGGUAGAGGGUAGCGGAAUUCCCGGUGUAGCAGUGAAAUGCGUAGAGAUCGGGAGGAACAUCCGUGGCGAAGGCGGCUACCUGGACCAACACUGACACUGAGGCACGAAAGCGUGGGGAGCAAACAGGAUUAGAUACCCUGGUAGUCCACGCCCUAAACGAUGCGAACUGGAUGUUGGGUGCAAUUUGGCACGCAGUAUCGAAGCUAACGCGUUAAGUUCGCCGCCUGGGGAGUACGGUCGCAAGACUGAAACUCAAAGGAAUUGACGGGGGCCCGCACAAGCGGUGGAGUAUGUGGUUUAAUUCGAUGCAACGCGAAGAACCUUACCUGGUCUUGACAUCCACGGAACUUUCCAGAGAUGGAUUGGUGCCUUCGGGAACCGUGAGACAGGUGCUGCAUGGCUGUCGUCAGCUCGUGUCGUGAGAUGGUGGGUAAGUCCCGCACGAGCGCAACCCUUGUCCUUAGUUGCAGCACGUAAUGGUGGACUCUAGGAGACCGCCGGUGACAACCGGGAGGAAGGUGGGAUGACGUUCAGUCAUCAUG